RNAcentral lists this ribosomal RNA (510 nucleotides) under uncultured bacterium. RNAcentral's name for it is "partial 16S ribosomal RNA". It matches the Rfam family "Bacterial small subunit ribosomal RNA", at positions 28 to 507 of the family's 1533-position model. The record is from RNAcentral.
GACGAACGCUGGCGGCGUGCUUAACACAUGCAAGUCGAACGAAGAGCGAUGGAAGCUUGCUUCUAUCAAUCUUAGUGGCGCACGGGUGAGUAACGCGUAAUCAACCUGCCCUUCAGAGGGGGACAACAGUUGGAAACGACUGCUAAUACCGCAUACGAUCUAAUCUCGGCAUCGAGGAAAGAUGAAAGGUGGCCUCUAUUUAUAAGCUAUCACUGAAGAAGGGGAUUGCGUCUGAUUAGCUAGUUGGAGGGGUAACGGCCCACCAAGGCGAUGAUCAGUAGCCGGUCUGAGAGGAUGAACGGCCACAUUGGGACUGAGACACGGCCCAGACUCCUACGGGAGGCAGCAGUGGGGAAUCUUCCGCAAUGGACGAAAGUCUGACGGAGCAACGCCGCGUGAGUGAUGACGGCCUUCGGGUUGUAAAGCUCUGUUAAUCGGGACGAAAGGCCUUCUUGCGAACAGUUAGAAGGAUUGACGGUACCGGAAUAGAAAGCCACGGCUAACUACGUG